Molecule: ribosomal RNA, 280 nt
Filed under: uncultured bacterium
Lineage: Bacteria
Description: partial 16S ribosomal RNA
Rfam family: Bacterial small subunit ribosomal RNA
Source: RNAcentral
UGCCAGCAGCCGCGGUAAUACGGAGAGUGCAAGCGUUACUCGGAAUCACUGGGCAUAAAGCGCACGUAGGCGGGAAGAUGUGUCGGUGGUGAAAGCCCCCAGCUCAACUGGGUGAAUUGCCUCCGAAACUGUCUUUCUUGAGGCCGAGAGGGGUGAGUGGAACUUCUGGUGGAGCGGUGAAAUGCGUAGAUAUCAGAAGGAACACCGGUGGCGAAAGCGACUCACUGGCUCGGAUCUGACGCUGAGGUGCGAAAGCGUGGGUAGCAAACAGGAUUAGAUA